RNAcentral lists this ribosomal RNA (253 nucleotides) under uncultured bacterium. RNAcentral describes it as "partial 16S ribosomal RNA". It matches the Rfam family "Bacterial small subunit ribosomal RNA", at positions 524 to 776 of the family's 1533-position model. The record is from RNAcentral.
GACAGAGGAUGCAAGCGUUAUCCGGAAUGAUUGGGCGUAAAGCGUCUGUAGGUGGCUUUUUAAGUCUUCCGUCAAAUCCCAGGGCUUAACCCUGGACAGGCGGUGGAAACUAACAAGCUGGAGUACGGUAGGGGCAGAGGGAAUUUCCGGGGGGGCGGUUAAAUGCGUAGAGAUCGGAAAGAACACCAACGGCAAAAGCACUCUGCUGGACCGAGACUGACACUCAGAGACGAAAGCUAGGGGAGCGAAUGGG